Molecule: ribosomal RNA, 274 nt
Filed under: uncultured bacterium
Lineage: Bacteria
Description: partial 16S ribosomal RNA
Rfam family: Bacterial small subunit ribosomal RNA
Source: RNAcentral
AUACGGAGGGUGCAAGCGUUAUUCGGAAUCACUGGGCGUAAAGGACGCGUAGGCGGGUUGGCAAGUCAGAUGUGAAAUCCUACAGCUUAACUGUAGAACUGCAUUUGAAACUGCUAACCUAGAGUAUGGGAGGGGGAGAUGGAAUUAGUGGUGUAGGGGUAAAAUCCGUAGAUAUCACUAGGAAUACCGAAAGCGAAGGCGAUCUCCUGGAACAUAACUGACGCUAAGGCGCGAAAGCGUGGGGAGCAAACAGGAUUAGAAACCCGAGUAGUCC